RNAcentral lists this ribosomal RNA (253 nucleotides) under uncultured bacterium. RNAcentral's name for it is "partial 16S ribosomal RNA". It matches the Rfam family "Bacterial small subunit ribosomal RNA", at positions 524 to 776 of the family's 1533-position model. The record is from RNAcentral.
UACGUAGGGUGCAAGCGUUAAUCGGAAUUACUGGGCGUAAAGCGUGCGCAGGCGGCUUUGCAAGACAGAUGUGAAAUCCCCGGGCUCAACCUGGGAACUGCAUUUGUGACUGCAUGGCUGGAGUGCGGCAGAGGGGGAUGGAAUUCCGCGUGUAGCAGUGAAAUGCGUAGAUAUGCGGAGGAACACCGCUGGCGAAGGCAAUCCCCUGGGCCUGCACUGACGCUCAUGCACGAAAGCGUGGGGAGCAAACAGG